UCUUUGAAUUCUUUCUUUUAAUAAUUAAAUAUUUUUAUGUACAUUUUAAUUUUAACAGAAGAUUUGAAUCUAUUUAAUUGUUUAGAAAUAUACCAACAAAUUUUUAAAAGUACCAUAGAAAAUAUAUUUUCGGACAAUUUGCAAUUAUUUGAGUUAUCUAGAGAUAUAAUCUCACUUAACCAUUUAACAGCUUUAUACUCAUCAAAUAAACACAUAAUGAGUGUUAAAACAAAACAAUAUAUUGAUAAAAUGAAAAGGGGUUAAGAACAUAUUAUUUUAAUUUUUAGUUUUAGUUCAUUAAUUAUUAUCAGUGAUAAUAUAUAUAUAUAUAUAUAUAUAUAUAUGUAAAUAAAUAAUUACAAUUUAAACA
This 370-nucleotide long non-coding RNA is filed under the name Piliocolobus tephrosceles (Ugandan red Colobus). RNAcentral describes it as "lncRNA (ENSPTEG00000016860.1)". Lineage: Eukaryota; Metazoa; Chordata; Mammalia; Primates; Cercopithecidae. The record is from RNAcentral.